RNAcentral lists this ribosomal RNA (253 nucleotides) under uncultured bacterium. Its description in RNAcentral is "partial 16S ribosomal RNA". It matches the Rfam family "Bacterial small subunit ribosomal RNA", at positions 524 to 776 of the family's 1533-position model. The record is from RNAcentral.
UACGUAGGGGGCAAGCGUUGUCCGGAAUCAUUGGGCGUAAAGCGCGUGUAGGCGGCUUGGUAAGUCUGCCCUGAAAGCCCGGGGCUCAACCCCGGGAGGCGGGUGGAUACUGUCAAGCUCGAGUCCGGAAGAGGAGUGUGGAAUUCCAGGUGUAGCGGUGAAAUGCGUAGAUAUCUGGAGGAACACCGGUGGCGAAGGCGGCGUCCUGGACCAACACUGACACUGAUGAGCGAAAGCCAGGGGAGCAAACGGG